UGGGGAUGUAGCUCAGUUGGGAGAGCACCUGCCUUGCAAGCAGGGGGUCGAGAGUUCGAAUCUCUUCAUCUCCAUC
RNAcentral lists this transfer RNA (76 nucleotides) under Blautia luti. RNAcentral describes it as "tRNA-Ala(tgc)". It matches the Rfam family "tRNA". Rfam says of the family: Transfer RNA (tRNA) molecules are approximately 80 nucleotides in length. Their secondary structure includes four short double-helical elements and three loops (D, anti-codon, and T loops). RNAcentral also lists the same sequence under 1 other name. Lineage: Bacteria; Bacillati; Bacillota; Clostridia; Lachnospirales; Lachnospiraceae. The record is from RNAcentral.